Molecule: ribosomal RNA, 116 nt
Filed under: Aulacophora indica
Lineage: Eukaryota; Metazoa; Arthropoda; Insecta; Coleoptera; Chrysomelidae
Description: partial 16S ribosomal RNA
Source: RNAcentral
AAAAUUUUAAAAGUCGAACAGACUUAAUUAUUUAGCCACUACACCAAAUAGAAAUUUUAAUCCAACAUCGAGGUCGCAAUCUUUAUUAUCAAUAUGAACUUUCUAAUAAAAUUACG